RNAcentral lists this long non-coding RNA (696 nucleotides) under Homo sapiens (human). Its description in RNAcentral is "HSALNT0387766". The record is from RNAcentral. Lineage: Eukaryota; Metazoa; Chordata; Mammalia; Primates; Hominidae.
GUGAAACCUGCAGGAAGCCCUGUCUGUUCUGUGUGGGACCCCCACUUCCAUCAUGGCCCCCACCACAGACACAGUGAGUCCACUCCAGUCCCUGUCCCAGCCUCUGGAGGGAUGCUGGCUCUGACCCCAUCUGGCCCCCUGCCUUUCCCUCGAGAUGUCCAUGGGCCCCCAACUCUUUGACGAGGUCUCAGACACCCCAAGGAGGCCGGGGAAAGGAUUCCCGGCGCAGCUGAGCUUGAGGCUGGGGGCUUUUCUGUUGUUUCUGCAGCCCCAGGGCCUGGCACCGUAGGACCUCUGCAGGCUGGUGGGGGUGAAUGAAUGAUUGAUUGAUGAAUGAAUGAAUGAAUGAAUGUCAGUUCAGCUGCCAUUUCACCGCCUGGAAUUUGGGACUCGGACUGGCUUCCUGGCUCCUCAGCUUGCAGACGGCCUAUUGUGGGACUUCACCUGGUGAUCAUAGAAACAGUGGACCCACUGAGACCAAGGGCAAGGGGAGGAAAGGCCCGGGGUAGGGCUGAAGACACAGGUUCCAGGCCCAGCUCUGCUGCUCACCGAUGAGGCUUCUCCUCUGUUGAGCAGCAGCCACAGGACCCUCGUCCAGAGACCAGCACCCCAGCCUGACCGGGGCUUCCUGGUGACCUGCCCAGGCUCCCACCUCUCUGCUAGCUGGGGCUGUAAACAUUUUAUACUUGUGAUGAG